This 925-nucleotide ribosomal RNA is filed under the name uncultured Gammaproteobacteria bacterium. Its description in RNAcentral is "bacterial SSU rRNA". It matches the Rfam family "Bacterial small subunit ribosomal RNA", at positions 8 to 924 of the family's 1533-position model. Lineage: Bacteria; Pseudomonadati; Pseudomonadota; Gammaproteobacteria. The record is from RNAcentral.
AGGGUUUGAUCAUGGCUCAGAUUGAACGCUGGCGGCAGGCUUAACACAUGCAAGUCGAGCGGAAACGAUGAUAGCUUGCUAUCAGGCGUCGAGCGGCGGACGGGUGAGUAAUACUUAGGAAUCUACCUAGUAGUGGGGGAUAGCUCGGGGAAACUCGAAUUAAUACCGCAUACGUCCUACGGGAGAAAGCAGGGGAUCAUUAGACCUUGCGCUAUUAGAUGAGCCUAAGUCGGAUUAGCUAGAUGGUGGGGUAAAGGCCUACCAUGGCGACGAUCUGUAGCUGGUCUGAGAGGAUGAUCAGCCACACCGGGACUGAGACACGGCCCGGACUCCUACGGGAGGCAGCAGUGGGGAAUAUUGGACAAUGGGGGGAACCCUGAUCCAGCCAUGCCGCGUGUGUGAAGAAGGCCUUUUGGUUGUAAAGCACUUUAAGCAGUGAAGAAGACUCUUCGGUUAAUACCCGGGGACGAUGACAUUAGCUGCAGAAUAAGCACCGGCUAACUCUGUGCCAGCAGCCGCGGUAAUACAGAGGGUGCAAGCGUUAAUCGGAAUUACUGGGCGUAAAGCGAGCGUAGGUGGCUUGAUAAGUCAGAUGUGAAAUCCCCGGGCUUAACCUGGGAACUGCAUCUGAAACUGUUAGGCUAGAGUAGGUGAGAGGGAAGUAGAAUUUCAGGUGUAGCGGUGAAAUGCGUAGAGAUCUGAAGGAAUACCGAUGGCGAAGGCAGCUUCCUGGCAUCAUACUGACACUGAGGCUCGAAAGCGUGGGUAGCAAACAGGAUUAGAUACCCUGCUAGUCCACGCCGUAAACGAUGUCUACUAGUCGUUGGGUCCCUUGAGGACUUAGUGACGCAGCUAACGCAAUAAGUAGACCGCCUGGGGAGUACGGCCGCAAGGUUAAAACUCAAAUGAAUUGACGGGGGGCGCC